This 407-nucleotide ribosomal RNA is filed under the name uncultured bacterium. RNAcentral describes it as "partial 16S ribosomal RNA". It matches the Rfam family "Bacterial small subunit ribosomal RNA", at positions 28 to 526 of the family's 1533-position model. The record is from RNAcentral.
GACGAACGCUGGCGGCGUGCUUAACACAUGCAAGUCGAACGAAGUGGCGAACGGGUGAGUAACGCGUAAUCAACCUGCCCUUCAGAGGGGACAACAAUUUGAAACCACCUCUAAUACCCCCAACUUAAGGGGGGGAUUUCGUCCGAUUAGCUAGGUGGAGGGGGAACGGCCCACCCAGGCGAGGAACAGUAGCCGGUCUGAGAGGAUGAACGGCCACAUUGGGACUGAGACACGGCCCAGACUCCUACGGGAGGCAGCAGUGGGGAAUCGUCCGCAAUGGACGAAAGUCUGACGGAGCAACGCCGCGUGAGUGAUGACGGCCUUCGGGUUGUAAAGCUCUGUUAAUCGGGACGCGGUACCGGAAUAGAAAGCCACGGCUAACUACGUGCCAGCAGCCGCGGUAAUAC